Molecule: ribosomal RNA, 459 nt
Filed under: Salmonella enterica
Lineage: Bacteria; Pseudomonadati; Pseudomonadota; Gammaproteobacteria; Enterobacterales; Enterobacteriaceae
Description: bacterial SSU rRNA
Rfam family: Bacterial small subunit ribosomal RNA
Source: RNAcentral
CGCGGUAAUACGGAGGGUGCAAGCGUUAAUCGGAAUUACUGGGCGUAAAGCGCACGCAGGCGGUCUGUCAAGUCGGAUGUGAAAUCCCCGGGCUCAACCUGGGAACUGCAUUCGAAACUGGCAGGCUUGAGUCUUGUAGAGGGGGGUAGAAUUCCAGGUGUAGCGGUGAAAUGCGUAGAGAUCUGGAGGAAUACCGGUGGCGAAGGCGGCCCCCUGGACAAAGACUGACGCUCAGGUGCGAAAGCGUGGGGAGCAAACAGGAUUAGAUACCCUGGUAGUCCACGCCGUAAACGAUGUCUACUUGGAGGUUGUGCCCUUGAGGCGUGGCUUCCGGAGCUAACGCGUUAAGUAGACCGCCUGGGGAGUACGGCCGCAAGGUUAAAACUCAAAUGAAUUGACGGGGGCCCGCACAAGCGGUGGAGCAUGUGGUUUAAUUCGAUGCAACGCGAAGAACCUUAC